RNAcentral lists this small nuclear RNA (146 nucleotides) under Fukomys damarensis (Damara mole-rat). RNAcentral describes it as "U2 spliceosomal RNA". It matches the Rfam family "U2 spliceosomal RNA". From Rfam's summary of the family: U2 is a small nuclear RNA (snRNA) component of the spliceosome (involved in pre-mRNA splicing). Lineage: Eukaryota; Metazoa; Chordata; Mammalia; Rodentia; Bathyergidae. The record is from Rfam by way of RNAcentral.
AUCGCUUCUCGGCCUUUUGGCUAAGAUCAAGUGUAAUAGGACUUACAAAGCUCUUUGAAUUACAAAGCUCUUUAAAGACGGGAAGCUGCCAAGCUCCCAAAAGCAGAUAUAGGUUUCCCAAAAAUCCUAAAAUUCCCUCAAAAACC